GGAAUAUUGGUCAAUGGACGCAAGUCUGAACCAGCCAUGCCGCGUGAAGGAUGAAGGUCCUCUGGAUUGUAAACUUCUUUUAUCUGGGACGAAAACGGGAUUUUUAUCUCAAUUGACGGUACCAGAGGAAUAAGCACCGGCUAACUCCGUGCCAGCAGCCGCGGUAAUACGGCGGGUGCGAGCGUUAUCCGGAUUUACUGGGUUUAACGGGUGCGUAGGUGGGCUUAUAAGUCAGUGGUGAAAUCUCCGAGCUUAACUUGGAAACUGCCGUUGAUACUAUAGAUCUUGAAUUAUCUGGAGGGAAGCUGAAUAUGUCAUGUAGCGGUGAAAUGCGUAGAUAUGACAUAGAACACCAAUUGCGAACGCAGCUUACUACAUAUAAAUUGACG
RNAcentral lists this ribosomal RNA (389 nucleotides) under uncultured bacterium. RNAcentral describes it as "bacterial SSU rRNA". It matches the Rfam family "Bacterial small subunit ribosomal RNA", at positions 358 to 745 of the family's 1533-position model. The record is from RNAcentral.